Infundibulicybe gibba is the source of this 87-nucleotide non-coding RNA. The record is from the annotation of a GenBank genome assembly. NCBI's taxonomy places the organism in Eukaryota, Fungi, Basidiomycota, Agaricomycetes, Agaricales, Omphalinaceae.
GACUCGAUAGCUAAGUGGUUAUAGCAUGCGAUUGCAGUCAACGCACAAUGUAUCGCAGGGUCCCGUGUUCAAAUCACGGUCGGGUCU